UGAGGAAUAUUGGUCAAUGGGCGGGAGCCUGAACCAGCCAAGUCGCGUGAGGGAUGACGGUCCUACGGAUUGUAAACCUCUUUUGCCGGGGAGCAAGCGUGCGUUCGUGAACGCGCGUCGAGAGUACCCGGAGAAAAAGCAUCGGCUAACUCCGUGCCAGCAGCCGCGGUAAUACGGAGGAUGCGAGCGUUAUCCGGAUUUAUUGGGUUUAAAGGGUGCGUAGGCGGGAUGCCAAGUCAGCGGUAAAAAUGCGGUGCUCAACGCCGUCGAGCCGUUGAAACUGGCGUUCUUGAGUGGGCGAGAAGUAUGCGGAAUGCGUGGUGUAGCGGUGAAAUGCAUAGAUAUCACGCAGAACUCCGAUUGCGAAGGCAGCAUACCGGCGCCCUACUGACGCUGAGGCACGAAAGCGUGGGUAUCGAACAGG
Molecule: ribosomal RNA, 424 nt
Filed under: uncultured bacterium
Lineage: Bacteria
Description: bacterial SSU rRNA
Rfam family: Bacterial small subunit ribosomal RNA
Source: RNAcentral